This 21-nucleotide microRNA is filed under the name Ananas comosus (pineapple). RNAcentral's name for it is "microRNA s0379_c40a". Lineage: Eukaryota; Viridiplantae; Streptophyta; Magnoliopsida; Poales; Bromeliaceae. The record is from RNAcentral.
CGCUUGCAUCCUCUUAUGCAC